RNAcentral lists this long non-coding RNA (1668 nucleotides) under Calidris pugnax (ruff). RNAcentral's name for it is "lncRNA (ENSCPUG00000000730.1)". The record is from RNAcentral. Lineage: Eukaryota; Metazoa; Chordata; Aves; Charadriiformes; Scolopacidae.
AUGUUUUUAGACAGAAUAUUGUAUCAUAUCUUCAUGGGGAUUGUUACCAGGUUACUUGGUUCGGCCUUGCACAAUUUGCCUUAUGUGUUGUAUAAUUUUCUUGCUCUUUGUAUCUGUAAGCAGUGGUUCAAACGUGGUAUUCUGGUAUUGUGUUGUAUUCUGUGCCAUACUGUGUCUGAAUGGCUGGCUUCUUUACCUGAAGUGUUAGGGCAAUUUAUACUGGAUUCUGUUGCUAAUUAUACUUCAAAUUUGGCUUCGAAUUUUACUGCGAAUUUUACCUCGAAUUUUACUCCGAAUUUUAAUUCAAAUUAUACUUCAAAUUUUACCUUGGGAAUGUUUACUUUGCCCUUUACUGGUCAGGCGAAAUCGUCAGCAUCAGAGACAGGGGAUGCAGCUGCUGGGCAUAGCCCGAAUGUGAGCUGCAUUCUCCAAAUCAUUGUUGUAGUGUCAGUAUUGCUGCACGGGCUGCAGGGGUGGUUUCUCUUUAAAUACUGGCGCGGAAAUGCUAAUGCACCGGUACAAGUUGCUCCGGUGACCAGAAGGAGAAGGAGGAGGUCAGCUCAGUCCUCCGCCCCUUGUGAUAGAGACCAAGCAAAGCCAGACAGCAAGGAAGAGGAUUUGUCUGAUGCAGGUUCAGAACACGGUGCUUCUACAGCUGAUCAGGGAGUGGCUCCUGUGUCAGCAAGGGAGGACGACUCAGAUACGGAGAUAAUCACUAAAUCCUUCUCCACGAAGGAUUUGCGAAAUAUAAGAAAGGAUUUUAGCCGUAAUGAGGGUGAGACACUUGUCUCCUGGUUGCUCCGGUGCUGGGAUAAUGGAGCUGGUUGCAUGGAACUAGACGGUGCAGAAGCUAAGCAGUUAGGAAACCUGUCCAAAGAGGCUGGUAUAGAUAAAGCUCUCGGGGAAAAGUCACAGACUCUCAGUCUCUGGAGGCGACUCUUAGCAGCUGUAAAGGACAGAUACCCUUAUAAGGAUGAUAUUGAAUGCAGCCCAAGUAAAUGGACCAACAUAGAGAAAGGUAUUAAGUACCUGAGAGAAAUGGCUGUGAAAGAGGUGAUUUAUGGUGACUGGGAUAAAACUGUAAAUCCUGAUGAAAUGCCAUGCAGACCACCUAUGUUGCGGAAGUUUUCACGGAGUGUACCACCAGUGUAUUCUUCCGCUUUGUCGGUACCGAUGUGGGCAGGAAUUGAUGAUGAUUCAUUAACUGUAAAUGACGUGGCUAGCAAAAUGCGACAGUAUGAUGACAGUCUCUCUCGACCCUUAACUGUAGCAGCUGCAGAAAGACUGACUGAGAAAACUGAGAAAAUGAUGGAGAAAAAUGAGAAAUUGUUUGAUAAACUGUUUGAUAAACUGUCUAGGAUGGAGGAUAGAUCCUAUUCUUCCCCUCCAUGGAGCAAUGUUGCAGCUGUCAGAAGACACCCUCCUAGGAGAUCGAAUCAAGGGAGACAGAGCACACUACGAAAUAUCCUGUGGUUUUGUCUCCGUGAUUAUGGAGAGGACAUGAGCAGGUGGGACAGAAAACCUACCUCAGCCCUGCAGGCACGAGUGAGUGAAUUGCAAAGUAGAACAGAUAGAAGACCAAAUUAUUCCAGGAGAACUGCUGCUCCAGUUCGUAGGGGGCGGUUCUCCAGUUCAGGAAGAAACUCAUCUGCCAAUUGUAGACGUUAG